Molecule: ribosomal RNA, 440 nt
Filed under: uncultured bacterium
Lineage: Bacteria
Description: partial 16S ribosomal RNA
Rfam family: Bacterial small subunit ribosomal RNA
Source: RNAcentral
CCUACGGGUGGCAGCAGUGGGGAAUAUUGCACAAUGGGGGAAACCCUGAUGCAGCAACGCCGCGUGAGUGAAGAAGUAUUUCGGUAUGUAAAGCUCUAUCAGCAGGGAAGAAGAUGACGGUACCUGAAUAAGAAGCCCCGGCUAACUACGUGCCAGCAGCCGCGGUAAUACGUAGGGGGCAAGCGUUAUCCGGAUUUACUGGGUGUAAAGGGAGCGCAGACGGCAGUGCAAGUCUGGAGGGAAAGCCCGGGGCCCAACCCCGGAACUGCUCUGGAAACUGUGCGGCUAGAGUACUGGAGGGGCAGGCGGAAUUCCUAGUGUAGCGGUGAAAUGCGUAGAUAUCGAGAGGAACACUCGUGGCGAAGGCGGGUUCCUGGACAUUAACUGACGCUGAGGCACGAAGGCCAGGGGAGCGAAAGGGAUUAGAUACCCCAGUAGUC